RNAcentral lists this ribosomal RNA (497 nucleotides) under uncultured bacterium. RNAcentral's name for it is "partial 16S ribosomal RNA". It matches the Rfam family "Bacterial small subunit ribosomal RNA", at positions 28 to 507 of the family's 1533-position model. The record is from RNAcentral.
GAUGAACGCCGGCGGCGUGCCUAAUACAUGCAAGUCGAGCGAACAGACGAGGAGCUUGCUCCUCUGACGUUAGCGGCGGACGGGUGAGUAACACGUGGAUAACCUACCUAUAAGACUGGGAUAACUUCGGGAAACCGGAGCUAAUACCGGAUAAUAUAUUGAACCGCAUGGUUCAAUAGUGAAAGACGGUUUUGCUGUCACUUAUAGAUGGAUCCGCGCCGCAUUAGCUAGUUGGUAAGGUAACGGCUUACCAAGGCAACGAUGCGUAGCCGACCUGAGAGGGUGAUCGGCCACACUGGAACUGGGACACGGUCCAGACUCCUACGGGAGGCAGCAGUAGGGAAUCUUCCGCAGUGGGCGAAAGCCUGACGGAGCAACGCCGCGUGAGUGGUGAAGGUCUUCGGUUCGUAAAACUCUGUUAUUAGGGAAGAACAGAUGUGUAAGUAACUAUGCACGUCUUGACGGUACCUAAUCAGAAAGCCACGGCUAACUACGUG